RNAcentral lists this ribosomal RNA (458 nucleotides) under uncultured bacterium. Its description in RNAcentral is "partial 16S ribosomal RNA". It matches the Rfam family "Bacterial small subunit ribosomal RNA", at positions 338 to 795 of the family's 1533-position model. The record is from RNAcentral.
CCUACGGGUGGCAGCAGUGAGGAAUAUUGGUCAAUGGGCGAGAGCCUGAACCAGCCAAGUCGCGUGAGGGAGUACUGCCCUAUGGGUUGUAAACCUCUUUUGUCGGGGAGCAAAAGCCGGACGUGUCCGGCUGUGAGAGUACCCGAAGAAAAAGCAUCGGCUAACUCCGUGCCAGCAGCCGCGGUAAUACGGAGGAUGCGAGCGUUAUCCGGAUUUAUUGGGUUUAAAGGGGGCGCAGGCGGAUUUUUAAGUCAGCGGUAAAAUCGUGGGGCAAAACCCCAUCCAGCCGUUGAAACUGGGGAUCUAGAGUGUGCGAGAGGUAUGCGGAAUGCGUGGUGUAGCGGUGAAAUGCAUAGAUAUCACGCAGAACCCCGAUUGCGAAGGCAGCAUACCGGUGCACAACUGACGCUCAGGCACGAAAGCGUGGGUAUCGAACAGGAUUAGAUACCCCAGUAGUC